RNAcentral lists this unclassified non-coding RNA (204 nucleotides) under uncultured Trechispora. RNAcentral describes it as "sequence contains ITS2". The record is from RNAcentral. Lineage: Eukaryota; Fungi; Basidiomycota; Agaricomycetes; Polyporales; Polyporaceae.
AGUCAUCAACCGCUCCCGUUUUUGAAAGCGGGGGGACGGGUUGGAUCUGGGGGUUUGCCGCUGCGAAGCGGCUCCCUUCAAAUGCAUCGGUUGGACCUGUGGGUCGAACUCGACCGGGCGUUGUAACAUCCUCGCUCUACCGAGAAGUUCCCCUUUGGUGUCCUCCCACGACCGCCUGUGGAGUGGCGGUCAACUUGCUUUGAA